This 433-nucleotide ribosomal RNA is filed under the name uncultured bacterium. RNAcentral describes it as "partial 16S ribosomal RNA". It matches the Rfam family "Bacterial small subunit ribosomal RNA", at positions 29 to 507 of the family's 1533-position model. The record is from RNAcentral.
AACGAACGCUGGCGGCAUGCUUAACACAUGCAAGUCGAACGGAACCUUCGGGCCUAGUGGCGCACGGGGGCGUGACGAGUGGGAACCUGCCCUUAGGUUCGCAAUAACUCCCCGUAAGGGGUCCUAAUGCCGGAUAAUGUCUUCGGACCAAAGAGGUAUCGCCAUUGGAUGGGGCCGGGUUGGAUUAGGCGGUUGGUAGGGUAAAAGCGGACCAAGGCGACGAUGCAUAGCUGGUGUGGUAACAUGAUUAGCCACGCUGGGAAUGAGACACGGACUAGAAUCCUACGGGAGGGAGCAGUAGAGAAUAUUGGACGAUGGGGGAUAGUCUAGUACCGCAACGCGGCGUAAGUGGUGCAUGCCUUAGGGUUGUGAAUCUCUUUUAGCCGGGAUGAUAGUGACAGUACCGGGAGAAUAAGCACCGGCUAACUACGUG